CAGGGAUUGCCCCAGUAACGGCGAGUGAAGCGGCAACAGCUCAAAUUUGAAAUCUGGCCCCUAGGGCCCGAGUUGUAAUUUGCAGAGGAUGCUUUUGGCGAGGUGCCUUCCGAGUUCCCUGGAACGGGACGCCAUAGAGGGUGAGAGCCCCGUCUGGUUGGAUGCCGAGCCUCUGUAAAGCUCCUUCGACGAGUCGAGUAGUUUGGGAAUGCUGCUCUAAAUGGGAGGUAUAUGUCUUCUAAAGCUAAAUACCGGCCAGAGACCGAUAGCGCACAAGUAGAGUGAUCGAAAGAUGAAAAGCACUUUGAAAAGAGGGUUAAAUAGUACGUGAAAUUGUUGAAAGGGAAGCGCUUAUGACCAGACUUGGACCCGGUGAAUCAUCCAGCGUUCUCGCUGGUGCACUUUGCCGGGCUCAGGCCAGCAUCAGUUUGCCUUGGGGGAUAAAGGCUUUGGGAAUGUGGCUCCCUCGGGAGUGUUAUAGCCCAUUGCACAAUACCCUGGGGCGGACUGAGGUUCGCGCAUCUGCAAGGAUGCUGGCGUAAUGGUCAUCAGCGACCCGUCUUGAAACACGGACCAAGGAGUCGUCUUCGUAUGCGAGUGUUCGGGUGUAAAACCCCUACGCGUAAUGAAAGUGAACGCAGGUGAGAGCUUCGGCGCAUCAUCGACCGAUCCUGAUGUUCUCGGAUGGAUUUGAGUAAGAGCAUACGGGGCCGGACCCGAAAGAAGGUGAACUAUGCCUGUAUAGGGUGAAGCCAGAGGAAACUCUGGUGGAGGCUCGCAGCGGUUCUGACGUGCAAAUCGAUCGUCAAAUAUGGGCAUGGGGGCGAAAGACUAAUCGAA
This 840-nucleotide ribosomal RNA is filed under the name Metarhizium cylindrosporum. Its description in RNAcentral is "partial large subunit ribosomal RNA". It matches the Rfam family "Eukaryotic large subunit ribosomal RNA", at positions 69 to 939 of the family's 3401-position model. The record is from RNAcentral. Lineage: Eukaryota; Fungi; Ascomycota; Sordariomycetes; Hypocreales; Clavicipitaceae.